UACGUAGGGGGCAAGCGUUGUCCGGAAUCAUUGGGCGUAAAGAGCGUGUAGGCGGCCCGAUAAGUCCGUUGUGAAAGUCCAGGGCUCAACCCUGGGAUGCCGGUGGAUACUGUCGGGCUCGAGUCCGGAAGAGGAGUGUGGAAUUCCUGGUGUAGCGGUGAAAUGCGCAGAUAUCAGGAGGAACACCAAUGGCGAAGGCAGCACUCUGGGACGUGACUGACGCUGAGACGCGAAAGCGUGGGGAGCAAACAGG
This 253-nucleotide ribosomal RNA is filed under the name uncultured bacterium. Its description in RNAcentral is "partial 16S ribosomal RNA". It matches the Rfam family "Bacterial small subunit ribosomal RNA", at positions 524 to 776 of the family's 1533-position model. The record is from RNAcentral.